AGAUUGAACGCUGGCGGCAGGCCUAACACAUGCAAGUCGAGCGGUAGAGAGGUGCUUGCAUCUCUUGAGAGCGGCGGACGGGUGAGUAAUGCCUAGGAAUCUGCCUAGUGGUGGGGGAUAACGUUCGGAAACGGACGCUAAUACCGCAUACGUCCUACGGGAGAAAGCGGGGGACCUUCGGGCCUCGCGCCAUUAGAUGAGCCUAGGUCGGAUUAGCUAGUUGGUGAGGUAAUGGCUCACCAAGGCGACGAUCCGUAACUGGUCUGAGAGGAUGAUCAGUCACACUGGAACUGAGACACGGGUCCAGACUCCUA
This 314-nucleotide ribosomal RNA is filed under the name uncultured soil bacterium. RNAcentral describes it as "bacterial SSU rRNA". It matches the Rfam family "Bacterial small subunit ribosomal RNA", at positions 26 to 341 of the family's 1533-position model. The record is from RNAcentral.